This 398-nucleotide RNase P RNA is filed under the name Rhizobium leguminosarum bv. trifolii WSM1689. RNAcentral's name for it is "bacterial RNase P". It matches the Rfam family "Bacterial RNase P class A". From Rfam's summary of the family: Ribonuclease P (RNase P) is a ubiquitous endoribonuclease, found in archaea, bacteria and eukarya as well as chloroplasts and mitochondria. Its best characterised activity is the generation of mature 5'-ends of tRNAs by cleaving the 5'-leader elements of precursor-tRNAs. The record is from RNAcentral. Lineage: Bacteria; Pseudomonadati; Pseudomonadota; Alphaproteobacteria; Hyphomicrobiales; Rhizobiaceae.
CCAGUUGGCUGGGCAGCCGCGCUUUACCAAUGCCGAAAGGCGGUAGGGUGAGGAAAGUCCGGGCUCCACGGAAACACGGUGCCGGAUAACAUCCGGCGAGGGCGACCUCAGGGAAAGUGCCACAGAAAGCAAACCGCCUGUCAUGACAGGUAAGGGUGAAAGGGUGGGGUAAGAGCCCACCGCAUCUCCGGCAACGGAUAUGGCACGGUAAACCCCACCGGGAGCAAAACCGAAUAGGGAUGACGCGGUAGGCCGAAAGGCCUUCCAGCCUGUUUCUGGGUCAGUCAUCCGGGUGGGUUGCGUGAGGCAGCGUGCAAGCGCUGUCCCAGAUGAAUGGCUGCCACGUUCCGGUUCACGCCGGAGCCAUACAGAACCCGGCUUACAGGCCAACUGGCGAU